UUACUUGAGGAAUAAGCAUCGGCUAACUUCUGUGCCAGCCCCCGCGGUAAUACAGGGGAUGCAAGUGUUAUCCGGAAUUAUUGGGCGUAAAGCGUCUGCAGGUGGAUUUUUAAGUCUUUUGUUAAAUGUUUGGGCUUAACCCGAAAUCUGCAAAAGAAACUAUUGAUCUUGAGUCUGGUAAAGGUAGAAGGAAUUUCCAGUGGAGCGGUGAAAUGCGUAGAGAUUGGAAAGAACACCAAAAGCGAAGGCAUUCUACUGGGCCAUGACUGACACUCAGAGACGAAAGCUAGGGGAGCAAACAGGAUUAGAUACCCUGGUAGUCCUAACUGUAAACGAUGGACACUAGAUGUUGUUGAUUCACUGAAUCAGCAGUGUCGUAGCUAACGCGUUAAGUGUCCCGCCUGGGAAGUAUGCUCGCAAGAGUGAAACUC
RNAcentral lists this ribosomal RNA (431 nucleotides) under uncultured bacterium. Its description in RNAcentral is "bacterial SSU rRNA". It matches the Rfam family "Bacterial small subunit ribosomal RNA", at positions 475 to 902 of the family's 1533-position model. The record is from RNAcentral.